Molecule: long non-coding RNA, 774 nt
Organism: Cyprinus carpio carpio
Lineage: Eukaryota; Metazoa; Chordata; Actinopteri; Cypriniformes; Cyprinidae
Source: Ensembl
CAGGAACAAAUCCACUGGUAAUGUUAAACUUCUGAAGGUUCAUCAGAAGUGAUGUGCCUUUCACACCCAUUACUGCUUCAACUGGCGUCCGUAACAUGGCAUAUUCAAAAUGUUCCGUCUCUGUCCUUAGUGGUGGUUCUGGUGUCUUCCAGGUGUAUGGGCCACCACCAGUAAAUAGAGAAAAGUCACACCCAUAUUUGCCAUUUAAUUGUUUGCUAUUUCUAAGAAGGGGACGAGCAACAGAAGGAGCAGAUCAGAGGGCUUCUCCAAAUUAUCGACCAACUGAUCUGACAGAGAGAGCACAAGGAUGUGCCAACUCUUAGAUUUGAGUCAACAUCAAAGUUGUACAUGGAGCCAUCUCUCCGAGUCCAAGGACCUUUGUUGUCUAUGGGAUGGUCUAAAAGUUCUUCCGAAGAUGAACGAAGGUCUUACAGCUUUGGGACGACAUGAGGGCACAAGAUGAAAACAUGUUGCUGUGGUUAUCACCAUGUCAAUCAUCACCAGUGUGUCUGAGACUCACUCACAGAACAAUAAUUUUUUCAGAAACUGUGCACAUGUGAACAUGACCGUUGGUUCUCUUAGCAGCAUAAAAAAACCUUUCAUAUAAUUGUGUGAUCUUUACUCCUUUUAUUCUGUAUGUAGAGUUAUCAUUUUAAUAUCCAAAGGGUUUUCUGUAGUUCAAAGAUAAAACCUUGUUUACACUGACAAACUUGUUAAAACUGAAGAUUUACUGCAGGUCCAGUAAAUGUUAGAUAUUAUCAAUGUUAAAACUAA